RNAcentral lists this small RNA (603 nucleotides) under Trichoderma atroviride. RNAcentral's name for it is "eukaryotic LSU rRNA". The stretch from base 225 to 378 matches the Rfam family "5.8S ribosomal RNA". The record is from RNAcentral. Lineage: Eukaryota; Fungi; Ascomycota; Sordariomycetes; Hypocreales; Hypocreaceae.
AACAAGGUCUCCGUUGGUGAACCAGCGGAGGGAUCAUUACCGAGUUUACAACUCCCAAACCCAAUGUGAACCAUACCAAACUGUUGCCUCGGCGGGGUCACGCCCCGGGUGCGUCGCAGCCCCGGAACCAGGCGCCCGCCGGAGGGACCAACCAAACUCUUUUCUGUAGUCCCCUCGCGGACGUUAUUUCUUACAGCUCUGAGCAAAAAUUCAAAAUGAAUCAAAACUUUCAACAACGGAUCUCUUGGUUCUGGCAUCGAUGAAGAACGCAGCGAAAUGCGAUAAGUAAUGUGAAUUGCAGAAUUCAGUGAAUCAUCGAAUCUUUGAACGCACAUUGCGCCCGCCAGUAUUCUGGCGGGCAUGCCUGUCCGAGCGUCAUUUCAACCCUCGAACCCCUCCGGGGGGUCGGCGUUGGGGACCUCGGGAGCCCCUAAGACGGGAUCCCGGCCCCGAAAUACAGUGGCGGUCUCGCCGCAGCCUCUCCUGCGCAGUAGUUUGCACAACUCGCACCGGGAGCGCGGCGCGUCCACGUCCGUAAAACACCCAACUUCUGAAAUGUUGACCUCGGAUCAGGUAGGAAUACCCGCUGAACUUAAGCAUAUA